This 510-nucleotide ribosomal RNA is filed under the name Laccophilus maculosus. Its description in RNAcentral is "partial 16S ribosomal RNA". The stretch from base 384 to 510 matches the Rfam family "Bacterial large subunit ribosomal RNA", at positions 2473 to 2600 of the family's 2925-position model. The record is from RNAcentral. Lineage: Eukaryota; Metazoa; Arthropoda; Insecta; Coleoptera; Dytiscidae.
GUCCUUUAGAUUUAUAAUUUAAGGUCUAACCUGCCCAAUGAUUUUAUUUAAUGGCCGCAGUAUUUUGACUGUGCAAAGGUAGCAUAAUCAUUAGUUUUUUAAUUGAAAGCUUGUAUGAAUGGUUGGACGAGAAAAAAUCUGUCUUAAAUUAAUAAUUUGAAUUUAAUUUUUUAGUUAAAAAGCUAAAAUUUUAUUAAAAGACGAGAAGACCCUAUAGAUCUUUAUAUUAGAUUAUUUAAAUUAAAUUAAGAAUUUUAAAUUAUUUAUUUAAUUUAAUAUUUUAUUGGGGUAAUAAAAAGAUUAAAUAAAUUCUUUUUUUAAUAAAAUAUUGAAUUAUAAAUUUUAGAUCCAUUAUUAAUGAAAUAUGAUUAAGUUACCUUAGGGAUAACAGCGUAAUUUUUUUAGAGAGUUCAUAUCGAUAAAAAAGUUUGCGACCUCGAUGUUGGAUUAAAAGUAAUCUUAGGUGCAGAAGUUUAAGGUUUUGGUCUGUUCGACCAUUAAAUUUUUACA